Molecule: ribosomal RNA, 497 nt
Filed under: uncultured bacterium
Lineage: Bacteria
Description: partial 16S ribosomal RNA
Rfam family: Bacterial small subunit ribosomal RNA
Source: RNAcentral
GAUGAACGCUGGCGGCGUGCCUAAUACAUGCAAGUCGAGCGAACAGACGAGGAUCUUGCUCCUCUGACGUUAGCGGCGGACGGGUGAGUAACACGUGGAUAACCUACCUAUAAGACUGGGAUAACUUCGGGAAACCGGAGCUAAUACCGGAUAAUAUAUUGAACCGCAUGGUUCAAUAGUGAAAGACGGUUUUGCUGUCACUUAUAGAUGGAUCCGCGCUGCAUUAGCUAGUUGGUAAGGUAACGGCUUACCAAGGCAACGAUGCGUAGCCGACCUGAGAGGGUGAUCGGCCACACUGGAACGGGGACACGGUCCAGACUCCUACGGGAGGCAGCAGUAGGGAAUCUGCCGCAAUGGGCGAAAGCCUGACGGAGCAACGCCGCGUGAGUGAUGAAGGUCUUCGGAUCGUAAAACUCUGUUAUUAGGGAAGAACAAAUGUGUAAGUAACUAUGCACGUCUUGACGGUACCUAAUCAGAAAGCCACGGCUAACUACGUG